Xenia sp. Carnegie-2017 is the source of this 234-nucleotide long non-coding RNA. RefSeq lists it as uncharacterized. The record is from RefSeq and is a predicted model, not a curated record. The transcript has 4 exons. NCBI's taxonomy places the organism in Eukaryota, Metazoa, Cnidaria, Anthozoa, Malacalcyonacea, Xeniidae.
AUCAGUGGGUCACAUGAUAAAUCAUUAAGACUUUGGGAACGAACGGACGAACCGUUGUUUGUCGAAGAGGAGAGAGAAAUGGAGAGGGAAGCAGUUUACGAAGAAAGCGCCGUAACAGGAGUUGAAACAAUUAUUCCAGGUGAACAAGACACAGAAGCUGUUAAAGCUGGCAAGAAAACUAUCGAGACGAUCAAAGGAGCUGAAAGAAUCAUGGAGGCCAUUGAAUUGUAUAAG